GAGACAGAGCCGUUGGGAUCAUAUAGGUAAAUGCUCUUGAUAUUUGAAAUGACGAUCGACCGGAGAUACCUCCAAUCGCUGAUUGCUGUUUUGGUGGAAGUGGGAGUCCGUGUCGUGUACAUGGACUUCCUACGCGAGGCCGUGGCCCGGACCGUGCCCUCGGAGAUGCCGGGCUUGUGCUUGGUUCGUCCAAAAUAGUUAGACAAGCUGCCGCUCUCGGUGUUAACAGGCAACACAUGACGAACCAUCCCCACAGAACAUCUCAUCUGUUACUGUUGAAAUUGAAGUUUUCAAUGAUGAUGAGGUGUAUUCCACAGAAUAAGCCAGCUUGCGGUCGUGCCGUGCAGUGUCACUCCCUAACGUGGAACUGCAACAAAACAAAAGCAUACUGGUCGUCAAUGAUGGUAAACAUUUAAACCAAACAACACUAGACAUGGUACUUAAAUGAUGUAAGAACAAGCUGUAGAAGACAAAGCAGCUGUUCGUGCUGUUGCUGAUAUUGUUUUGAACAUCAUUCCACGUUCAAAACUUCUUUCCCAAUGUCAGAAGUUUGGACACGCCCAUAAA
This 567-nucleotide long non-coding RNA is filed under the name Acyrthosiphon pisum (pea aphid). RNAcentral's name for it is "uncharacterized LOC100571046, transcript variant X1". Lineage: Eukaryota; Metazoa; Arthropoda; Insecta; Hemiptera; Aphididae. The record is from RNAcentral.